RNAcentral lists this ribosomal RNA (1189 nucleotides) under Halobacterium sp. HiM3. RNAcentral describes it as "partial 16S ribosomal RNA". It matches the Rfam family "Archaeal small subunit ribosomal RNA", at positions 78 to 1387 of the family's 1478-position model. Lineage: Archaea; Methanobacteriati; Methanobacteriota; Halobacteria; Halobacteriales; Halobacteriaceae. The record is from RNAcentral.
GCAGCGGAGAGGUCAGUAACACGUGGCCUAACUACCGUGUGGGUGGGAACUAUCUCGGGAAACUGAGGCUAAUUCCCAAUAACGCUCCGCCCCUGGAACGGGCGGAGCUGGAAACGCUACGGCGCCACAGGAUGUGGCUGCGGUCGAUUAGGUAGACGGUGGGGUAACGGCCCACCGUGCCAAUAAUCGGUACGGGUUGUGAGAGCAAGAGCCCGGAGACGGAAUCUGAAACAAGAUUCCGGGCCCUACGGGGCGCAGCAGGCGCGAAACCUUUACACUGUACGCAAGUGCGAUAAGGGGACUCCGAGUGUGAAGGCAUAGAGCCUUCACUUUUGUACGCCGUAAGGUGGUGUACCAAUAAAGGCUGGGAAAGACCGGUGCCACCCCCCCCGGUAAUACCGGCGGCAAGAGUGAUGGCCGAUAUUAUUGGGCCUAAAGCGACCUUGGCUGGUCGGACGAGUUCAUUGGGAAAUCUGUUCGCGUACCUAGCGUGCGUCCGCUGCAAACUGUUCUGCUUGGGACCGGAAGACCUGAGCGGGUAGUCCUAGCUGUAAACGAUGCCCGCUAGGUGUGGCGCAGGCUACGAGCCUGCGCUGUGCCGUAGGGAAGCCGAGAAGCGGGCCGCCUGGGAAGUACCGUCUGCAAGGAUGAAACUUAAAGGAAUUGGCGGGGGAGCACUACAACCGGAGGAGCCUGCGGUUUAAUUGGACUCAACGCCGGACAUCUCACCAGCUCCGACAGUAGUAAUGACGGUCAGGUUGAUGACUUUACCCGAUGCUACUGAGAGGAGGUGCAUGGCCGCCGUCAGCUCGUACCGUGAGGCGUCCUGUUAAGUCAGGCAACGAGCGAGACCCGCACUCCUAAUUGCCAGCAGUACCCUUUGGGUAGCUGGGUACAUUAGGUGGACUGCCGCUGCCAAAGCGGAGGAAGGAACGGGCAACGGUAGGUCAGUAUGCCCCGAAUGAGCUGGGCAACACGCGGGCUACAAUGGUCGAGACAAUGGGAUGCAACUCCGAGAGGAGGCGCUAAUCUCCUAAACUCGAUCGUAGUUCGGAUUGAGGGCUGAAACUCGCCCUCAUGAAGCUGGAUUCGGUAGUAAUCGCGUGUCAGAAGCGCGCGGUGAAUACGUCCCUGCUCCUUGCACACACCGCCCGUCAAAGCACCCGAGUGGGGUUCGGAUGAGGCCGGC